Molecule: small RNA, 934 nt
Filed under: Pan troglodytes (chimpanzee)
Lineage: Eukaryota; Metazoa; Chordata; Mammalia; Primates; Hominidae
Description: retained intron
Source: RNAcentral
CCCUGAUUGAGAAAUCCGCGCGCAGCCUCCGCCGCUGCACACUGCGGCCUCUGCUGAACCCCUGCCGCGCCGCCGCCUUCGCCAGUCCGGACCGGACCGGCCCGCGUUCCCUUCCUCCGCUCCAGCCGGCCUCCGGCCCCGCAACCUCCUCCUCGGCGAAGUCUCCCUGGCCGCCCCAUGUCGGCCGCCCCCGCCUACAGCGAAGACAAGGGCGGCUCCGCUGGCCCCGGGGAGCCCGAGUACGGCCACGACCCCGCGAGCGGCGGCAUCUUCUCCUCCGACUACAAGCGGCAUGAUGACCUGAAGGAGAUGCUGGACACCAACAAGGAUUCUCUCAAGCUGGAGGCCAUGAAGAGGAUUGUGGCGAUGAUUGCCCGAGGAAAGAAUGCUUCAGACCUGUUUCCCGCGGUGGUGAAGAACGUGGCCUGUAAGAACAUAGAGGUGAGCACUACCUGGUGAGGGAUUGCUUGUCCCCACCUCCCCCAGGACCAAACUCAAGCUUGGGGUGAGGAAGGAAAUGAUUUAGCCCCUGGGGGCCCGACCUGCUGAGAAAUGUCUCUGAGCCAGGAGAAGACACUGUCUCCAUGUCCCUGAACUGGAUGUGGAUCAAGGUAAAGGACCUGGAUACACUCAGGGGUGCUCUCCCCCACUGGGAGAGUUUGUCCUCAUGGACCGCAGCUGGAUGGGGAGAUGACAUCCCAGGGGUAGGGGGGUGGGCACAGGUGCCUGCUGAGAAGCGUUCUGCUGAGAAACGUGCUCUCCCCAAGGUGAAGAAGCUUGUCUACGUGUACCUGGUACGCUACGCUGAGGAGCAGCAAGACCUGGCCCUGCUGUCCAUCUCCACCUUCCAACGUGGCCUAAAGGAUCCCAACCAGCUGAUUCGUGCCAGUGCCCUCCGUGUCCUCUCUAGCAUCCGUGUGCCCAUCAUAGUGCC